Molecule: transfer RNA, 64 nt
Filed under: marine eukaryotic metagenome
Rfam family: tRNA
About the family: Transfer RNA (tRNA) molecules are approximately 80 nucleotides in length.
Source: RNAcentral
CGUAGCUCAGCGGAUAGAGCACUGGCCUCCGGAGCCAGGGGCGUGGGUUCGAGUCCCGCCGGGG